RNAcentral lists this ribosomal RNA (497 nucleotides) under uncultured bacterium. RNAcentral describes it as "partial 16S ribosomal RNA". It matches the Rfam family "Bacterial small subunit ribosomal RNA", at positions 28 to 507 of the family's 1533-position model. The record is from RNAcentral.
GAUGAACGCUGGCGGCGUGCCUAAUACAUGCAAGUCGAGCGAACGGACGAGAAGCUUGCUUCUCUGAUGUUAGCGGCGGACGGGUGAGUAACACGUGGAUAACCUACCUAUAAGACUGGGAUAACUUCGGGAAACCGGAGCUAAUACCGGAUGAUAUUUUGAACCGCAUGGUUCAAAAGUGAAAGACGGUCUUGCUGUCACUUAUAGAUGGAUCCGCGCUGCAUUAGCUAGUUGGUAAGGUAACGGCUUACCAAGGCAACGAUGCAUAGCCGACCUGAGAGAGUGAUCGGCCACACUGGAACUGAGACACGGUCCAGACUCCUACGGGAGGCAGCAGUAGGGAAUCUUCCGCAAUGGGCGAAAGCCUGACGGAGCAACGCCGCGUGAGUGAUGAAGGUCUUCGGAUCGUAAAACUCUGUUAUUAGGGAAGAACAUAUGUGUAAGUAACUGUGCACAUCUUGACGGUACCUAAUCAGAAAGCCACGGCUAACUCCGUG